UUUUUCUUACUUGCUGGUUUACGUUCUUUGUCUUCGUAAUCAAUCUUGUCGGGGUCUAAUUUAUCCUCUUCUUCGGAACUGUCUUCAUCUUCAAAGCCUGUUGGCGGUUUGAAAUUAUUGUCUCCAAUGUAUUGGUUGUCCAACUCAUACAUGGGAUAAAUUGAAACUGGUAUAAUUAAUGGUUCAUCAGAUGAUUGCCCAAGCACAGCUCGGUACCAAACUAAUUGACCAACAAUUGAUAGGAUCACAGGUAAAAUUUUAAUCAACAUUGACUUCAAAACUGAUGACACAAGCGGAUGAGCAAAACAAACUUGAUGGAGAUGAUGAAGAUGGCAAUGGCGAUUAUAAAGGUGAUAGAGACAAUUUUUAUGCUGGAAUAGAUGUUGUGCAGGUGUUUGUCGUAUCCAAAUGAAAUUUCGUAGCGUAAAAAUCGUAUCUAACAGUCAACUUUGGAACCAAAGGAGAGAAACAAUGAAAUAUGAAGUUAUGAAGCAAAAAAGUAAUAUGAAAAGGAUUUAAAGAGUGGAUAAGAAAGUGUUAUAACAAAAUAUUUGGAGGAGGAGAAGGAAAACAAGUAGGAGGUGCAUAAUGGGUGAUACUUCUUUUGUCUCUGGUGCCAACCUUGAACUAACUUUGUCAGGAUUUCCUGAUGAACGGAAUAGUGAAAAAAAAGGAAAUUCAUUUUGUGAUUUAUUAAUUACCUGCUGCUGAAGAAAUUUUCACAGAUAAUAAUUGCCAUUGUUGAGUAAUUAUAGCAGAAAUAAACAGGAUUUUCUUUGGUUGUCAUCCUGGAUUUCAAAGUGGCCAAGAUUCAAAUUACAUGGAAAUGUGUGAAUAAGAAGCAACAUCCAAAAUUUCCCUUGCUAUUUUUGACCAUCAUACUUCACGUUCACCAGAUCUGGAAAGACCGGUUAAUUUGGGUUGAAAGAGGCUCAGAACAAUUCCAAGAUGGGUAUUUUCAGUAGGAGCAAGAAUUGAAUAAAUCUGAAUGUGUUGGGAAAUUCAGAAAUAGUACUAAAUCAUAAAGAAACUUAGUAACAAGUCAUUCGAGCUCACUUAGGCCUAACAAAUUUAGCGGAUGCAAGAAUUUAAUCACUUAAUCAUUUUGAUAGUUGCAUAUUGAAAGGUGUUAAAUUAUGUGAGUAUUUCAUUAUAAAUAGAUAAAUCUUUCGUAUAAUAAUGAAAUUAAUUUCUAUUAAACGAUGCAUUAAGAAAGCUGAACAUUCUAUUAUUGAAAUGUGCUUAUUAUUAAAUUACUAUUAUUCAAUGGGCAA
Long non-coding RNA from Tetranychus urticae (two-spotted spider mite), 1274 nucleotides. RefSeq lists it as uncharacterized. The record is from RefSeq and is a predicted model, not a curated record. Lineage: Eukaryota; Metazoa; Arthropoda; Arachnida; Trombidiformes; Tetranychidae.